RNAcentral lists this ribosomal RNA (1486 nucleotides) under uncultured bacterium. RNAcentral's name for it is "partial 16S ribosomal RNA". It matches the Rfam family "Bacterial small subunit ribosomal RNA". The record is from RNAcentral.
UACGGUUACCUUGUUACGACUUCAGGACAAACGCUGGCGGCGUGCUUAACACAUGCAAGUCGAACGAUGAAGCCCUACUUGCUGGGUGAAUUAGUGGCGAACGGGUGAGUAACACGUGGGUGACCCGCCCUGCACUCUGGGAUAAGCCUGGGAAACUGGGUCUAAUACCGGAUAGGACCUUCGGCCGCAUGGCUGGGGGUGGAAAGUUUUCCGGUGCACGAUGAGCCCGCUGCCUAUCAGCUUGUUGGUGGGGUAAUGGCAUACCAAGGCGACGACGGGUAGCCGGCCUGAGAGGGCGACCGGCCACACUGGGACUGAGACACGGCCCAGACUCCUACGGGUGGCAGCAGUGGGGAAUAUUGCACAAUGGGCGCAAGCCUGAUGCAGCGACGCCGCGUGAGGGAUGACGGCCUUCGGGUUGUAAACCUCUUUCACCCAUGACGAAGCGCAAGUGACGGUAGUGGGAGAAGAAGCACCUGCCAACUACGUUCCAGCAGCCGCGGCACUACGUAGGGUGCGAGCGUUGUCCGGAAUUACUGGGCGUAAAGAGGUCGUAGGCGGUUUGUCGCGUCGUCUGUGAAAACCCGCCGCUCAACUGCGGGCUUGCAGGCGAUACGGGCAGACUCGAGUACUGCGGGGGAGACUGGAAUUCCUGGUGUAGCGGUGAAAUGCGCAGAUAUCAGGAGGAACACCGGUGGCGAAGGCGGGUCUCUGGGCAGUAACUGACGCUGAGGAGGGAAAGCGUGGGUAGCGAACAGGAUUAGAUACCCUGGUAGUCCACGCCGUAAACGGUGGGCGCUAGGUGUGGGUUUCCUUCCGCGGGAUCCGUGCCGUAGCCAACGCAUUAAGCGCCCCGCCUGGGGAGUACGGCCGCAAGGCUAAUACUCAAAGGAAUUGACGGGGGCCCGCACAAGCGGCGGAGCAUGUGGAUUAAUUCGAUGCGACGUGAAGAACCUUACCUGGGUUUGACAUGUACCGGACGACCGCAGAGAUGUGGUUUCCCUUGUGGCCGGUAGACAGGUGGUGCAUGGCUGUCGUCAGCUCGUGUCGCGAGGUGUUGGGUUAAGUCCCGCAACGAGCGCAACCCUUGCCAUUAGUUGCUACAUUCAGUUGGGCACUCUAAUGGGACUGCCGGUGACAAACCGGCGGAAGGUGUGCAUGACGUCAAGUCCUCAUGGCCCGUAUGGGUAGGGCUUCACACGUCAUACAAUGGCCGGGACAGAGGGUUGCCAAGCCGCGAGGUGGAGCCAAUCUCAGAAACCCGAUCGUAGUCCGGAUCGCAGUCUGCAACUCGACUGCGUGAAGCCACAAUCGCUAGUAACCGUGGAUCAGCAUGUCGCGGUGAAUACGUUCCCAGGUCUUGUACACACCGCCCGUCACACCAUGGGAGUGGGUUUCACCCGAAGUAGGUCGCCUACCCGUAAGGGGGGCGCUUACCACGGUGAGAUUCAUGACUGGCGUGAAGUCUGAGCCAGGAUCAAACUCU